CUGCCCUCGAGCGCGGUUCGGUCCCUAGCGGGCCGGCCGCCGCCCGGUGUUGGGGCGCUGCGGGCCCUCGUGCCCGCAGGCCCUGAAAUGAAGUGGCGGUCCCGCCGCGGCGCCCCCUGCGUAGUAGUAAAGCACCUCGCAUCGGGACCCGGCGGAGGCCAGCCGUCGAACCUCUUCUAUUGAUG
This 185-nucleotide unclassified non-coding RNA is filed under the name Microascus alveolaris. RNAcentral describes it as "partial internal transcribed spacer 2". The record is from RNAcentral. Lineage: Eukaryota; Fungi; Ascomycota; Sordariomycetes; Microascales; Microascaceae.